UGGCCGGCGUGCUUGGAGGGAGAUCGGAAAGAUCACAGGAGAGUUGAGAUAUAGUGUAGUUGAGAUCACCUGUCAACUGGGUCAACGGCUAAGUGCGUCAGCCAUCGCCGCGUGUUUUAGAGUAAACACUUUACUCAACGCAAGAACAUCUGAGAUCACUGCAAGAAACAUGUGGAGGGGUGACAAAUGAGGCAUGCGGUGACGUCCCUUCGUUGGAAAGUGUUUUGAGACCGAAAGAAUCGCAGCGUGACGACGUGUGUACAAGUUCCCGAGUACGUGGAUUUGUCGUUAGAAAACGCGAAAGAUCCUGAAAUUCGCGUGCUUGCCAACACAAAGGUCUUCCAGGCAGACGAUUCUUCAGAGAGUCCUCGUAGUCGUCCGGUGACACUUUGCACUCAGGGAGGCCAACUUAGGAAUACAUCGGUUUAUUGUAGGACAAAGUAGCAUACAUCGUCGAGCGGCGGCUGAUUAUCGGCUGGCUCCUUCCCUCUUCAUCUCUACACACUUUUUUAAGUGAUCAUCAACAAUACAGGC
Molecule: long non-coding RNA, 534 nt
Organism: Dermacentor silvarum
Lineage: Eukaryota; Metazoa; Arthropoda; Arachnida; Ixodida; Ixodidae
Exons: 3
Source: RefSeq, a predicted model, not a curated record